RNAcentral lists this ribosomal RNA (253 nucleotides) under uncultured bacterium. Its description in RNAcentral is "partial 16S ribosomal RNA". It matches the Rfam family "Bacterial small subunit ribosomal RNA", at positions 524 to 776 of the family's 1533-position model. The record is from RNAcentral.
UACGGGGGAUGCAAGCGUUAUCCGGAAUUAUUGGGCGUAAAGCGUCCGCAGGUGGUUAUCCAAGUCUGCUGUCAAAGCGCGAGGCUUAACUUCGUAUCGGCAGUGGAAACUGGGUGACUAGAGUAUGGUAGGGGUAGCGGGAAUUCCCAGUGUAGCGGUGAAAUGCGUAGAUAUUGGGAAGAACACCGGCGGCGAAAGCGCGCUACUGGGCCAUUACUGACACUCAUGGACGAAAGCCAGGGGAGCGAAAGGG